AGCAACUAGAUGGGGCGAUAGCAGUGCGG
RNAcentral lists this small RNA (29 nucleotides) under Bombyx mori (domestic silkworm). Its description in RNAcentral is "ovarian small RNA-12014". Lineage: Eukaryota; Metazoa; Arthropoda; Insecta; Lepidoptera; Bombycidae. The record is from RNAcentral.